RNAcentral lists this ribosomal RNA (440 nucleotides) under uncultured bacterium. RNAcentral describes it as "partial 16S ribosomal RNA". It matches the Rfam family "Bacterial small subunit ribosomal RNA", at positions 338 to 795 of the family's 1533-position model. The record is from RNAcentral.
CCUACGGGUGGCAGCAGUGGGGAAUAUUGCACAAUGGGGGGAACCCUGAUGCAGCGACGCCGCGUGGGUGAGGAAGUACUUCGGUAUGUAAAGCCCUAUCAGCAGGGAAGAAAAUGACGGUACCUGACUAAGAAGCCCCGGCUAACUACGUGCCAGCAGCCGCGGUAAUACGUAGGGGGCAAGCGUUAUCCGGAUUUACUGGGUGUAAAGGGAGCGUAGACGGCGUGCCAAGUCUGGUGUGAAAGGCCGGGGCUCAACCCCGGGACUGCAUUGGAAACUGGCAUGCUGGAGUGCCGGAGGGGCAAGCGGAAUUCCUAGUGUAGCGGUGAAAUGCGUAGAUAUUAGGAGGAACACCGGUGGCGAAGGCGACUAUCUGGCACAUAACUGACGCUGAGGAGCGAAAGCGUGGGUAGCAAACAGGAUUAGAUACCCGUGUAGUC